This 3183-nucleotide long non-coding RNA is filed under the name Homo sapiens (human). RNAcentral's name for it is "HSALNT0046681". The record is from RNAcentral. Lineage: Eukaryota; Metazoa; Chordata; Mammalia; Primates; Hominidae.
GUAAAAAAUAAAAACUCAAGGUUCAAGAUAUGAGUUAUAAGAAUAUUUACUAAAUUUAUAUACUGAUUUAAUAUUUCUUUACUGUUUUAUAUUUUCUUUUGAAAAUUUUUAACACUUGCAGAAGAGUUGCAAGCACAUUACAAAAAAAUCCCCUGGGACAAUUUUAUAUAUAUAUAUAUAUAUAUAUAUAUAUAUAUAUAUAUAUAUAUAUAUACACAUAUAUAUAUAUAUAUAUAUACACACACAUAUAUAUAUAUAUAUAUAUACACAUAUAUAUAUACAUACAUAUAUGUUUUUUUAAUUUUUUGAGACGGAAUCUCACUUUGUCACCCAGGCUGGAAUGCAGUGGUGCAAUUUUGGCUCACUGCAAAUGCUGCCUCCCGGGUUCAAGAGAUUCUUUCCUCAGCCUCCUGAGUAGCUGGUACUACAAGCAUGAGCCACCAUGCCCAGUUUAUUUUUGUAAUUUUAGUAGAAACGGGGUUUUGCCAUGUUGGCCAGGCUGGUCUCAAAAUCCUGACCUCAGGUGAUCCACCCACCUCGGCCUCCCAAAGUGUUGGGAUUACAGGCGUGAGCCACCAUGCCCAGCCCCCAUAAACAAUUUAAUCUCCUGAAAACAAGGGUAUUCUUCUGUAUAAGCAUAAUACAACCAUAAAAAUCAGAAACUGAUACCGUGCUACCAUAUAAUACUCACACCCCAUUCAGAUGUCAUCAAUUUUUUCCAGUAAUGUCCUUUAUAAAAAGGAUCUACUUCAUAGAUUGCAUUUAAUUGUCAGUUCUUUUCUUUCCCUUCAAUCUGGAACAGUUUCUACAUAUUCCUGUGACCUUCAUAAUUUUAACAAUUUGAGUAUUUUUAAAAAUGUUUCUCAAUUCCAGUUUGUCUGAAUCUCUGUGUUAAUAUUUUCUUAUUUUGUGUUUUCUUGAUGCUCUGGCAUCAGGGGCCUUGCUGACUGGGGAGAAACUGCCUGUCUCAAAACUGGCCAAUUCUUAGACAUAGCAAGCUACUCUCCCUGAGAGAAUGCAUUUCUUUCUUUCUUUCUUUUUCUUUUUAAAUUGUACUUUAAGUUUUGGGAUACAUGUGCAGAAUGUGCAUGUUUGUUACAUAGGUACACAUGUGCCAUGGUGGUUUGCUGCACCCAUCAACCCGUCAUCUACAUUAGGUAUUUCUCCUAAUGCUAUCCCUCCCCGAGCCCCCAACCCACUGACAGGCCCCGGUAUGUGAUGUUCCCCUCCCUGUGUCCAAGUGUUCUCAUUGUUCAACUCUCACUUAUGAGUGAGAACAUGUGGUGUUUGGUUUUCUUUUCCUGUGUUAGUUUGCUGAGAAUGAUGAUUUCCAGCUUCAUCCAUGUCCCUGCAAAGUACAUGAACUCAUCCUUUUUUAUGGCUGCAUAGUAUCCUAUGGUGUAUAUGUGCCACAUUUUUUUUUUAUCCAUUCUGUCAUUGACGGGCAUUUGGGUUGGUUCCAAGUCUUUGCUAUUGUGAACAGUGCUGCAAUAAACAUACAUGUGCAUGUGUCUUUAUAGUAGAAUGAUUUAUAAUCCUUUGAUUAUAGUAGAAUGAUUUAUUACCCAGUAAUGGGAUUGCUGGGUCAAAUGGUAUUUCUGGUUCUAGAUCCUUGAGAAAUGGCCACACUGUCUUCCACAAUGGUUGAACUAAUUUACACUCCCACCAACAGUGUAAAAGCGUUCCUAUUUCUCCACAUCCUCUCCAGAAUCUGUUGUAUCCUGACUUUUUAAUGAUCACCAUUCUAACUGGCAUGAGAUGGCAUCUCAUUGUGGUUUUGAUUUGCAUUUCUCUAAUGACCAGUGACGAUGAGCUUUUUUUCAUAUGUUUGUUGGCCACAUAAAUGUCUUCUUUCAAGGAGUGUCUGUUCAUAUCCUUCGCCUACUUUUUGAUGGGGUUGAUUUUUUUUUCUUAUAAAUUUGUUUAAGUUCUUCGUAGAUUCUGAAUAUUAGCCCUUUGUUAGAUGGAUAGAUUGCGAAAAAACUUCUCCCAUUCUGUAGGUUGCCUCUUUACUCUGAUGAUAGUUUCUUUUGCUGUGCAGAAGCUCCUUAGUUUAAUUAGAUACCAUUUGUCAGUUUUUGGCUUUUGUUGCCAUUGCUUUUGGUAUUUUAGUCAUGAGGUCUUUGCUCAUGCCUAUGUCCUGAAUGAUACUGCCUAGGUUUUCUUCUAGGGUUUUUAUGGUUUUAGGUCUUACAUUUAAGUAUUUAAUCCAUCUUGAGUUAAUUUUUGUGUAAGCUGUUAGGAAGGGGUCCAGUUUCAGUUUUCUGCAUAUGGCUAGCCAGUUUUCCCAACUCCAUUUAUUAAAUAGGGAAUCCUUUUCCCGUACCUUGUUUUUGUCAGGUUUGUCAAAGAUCAAAUGGUUGUAGAUGUGUGGCAUUAUUUCUGAGGCCUCUGUUCUGUUCCAUUGGUCUAUAUAUCUGUUUUGGUACCAGUACCAUGCUGUAUUGGUUACUGUAGCCUUGUAGUAUAGUUUGAAGUGAGGUAGCGUGAUGUCUCCAACUUUGUUCUUUUUGCUUAGGAUUCUCUUGGCUAUACAGGCUCUUUUUUGGUUCCAUAUGAAAUUUAAAGUAGUUUUUUCUAAAUCUGUGAAGAAAGUCAAUGGUAGAUUGAUGGGGAUAGCAUUGAAUCUAUAAAUUGCUUUGGGCAGUAUGACCAUUUUCAUGAUACUGAUUCUUGCUAUCCAUGAAGGUAGAAUGUUUUUUCAUUUGUUUAUGUCCUCUCUUAUUUCCUUGAGCAGUGGUUUGUAGUUCUCCUUGAAAAGGUGCUUCAUAUCUCUUGUAAGUUGUAUUCCUAGGUAUUUUAUUAUCUUUGUAGCAAUUGUGAAUGGCAGUUCACUCAUGAUUUGGCUCUCGGUUUGUCUGUUAUUGGUGUAUAGGAAUGCUUGUGAUUUUUGCACAUUGAUUUUGUAUCCCGAGACUUUGCUGAAGUUGCUUUUCUGCUUAAGGAGAUUUUGGGCUGGGACAAUGGGGUUUUCCAAAUAUGCCAUCAUGUCAUCUGCAAACAGAGACAAUUCAACUUCCUCUUUCCUAUUUGAAUACCCUUUCUUUCAUUCUCUUGCCUGAUAGCCCUGGCCAGAACUUCCAAUACUAUGUUGAAUAGGAGUGGUGAGAGAGGGCAUACCUGUCUUGUGCCAGUUUUCAAAGAGAAUGCUUCCAGUUUUUGUCCAUUCAGUAUGAUAUUGGC